UUUAUUGUCUAAUCAAUAAAAAGAGAUAGUAUUUUGAGUUUAUUUCAAGAUGUCUAUAUACGAGCUAAGAAGCUGGAUGUAUAUACGUAAAGAUUCAGAUGGGGCGUUGACAGAAGAGUUCAAGAACGGGUUAGAAAUAUUUAUGUAUCAGGCUACAAAUAUGGAGAGAACGAAAGAUAACGGGAAGAUGUUUUGUCAAAGAGAUAGUAACCGAUGCUAAUGUCAAAGAGAUAGUGAAGAGAUUCAAACAAAAAACAUUGCCUACAAUGAACUCCAACAAAUCGAGUACAAACAAAAUUCGAAUAUCAUACAUAGCAGACUCUUUUCCCUUUUAUCCGCUUGCAUCAUCGUAACGACCAUAUAUACAUGGCAAACUCUUUUCCCUUUGUUUAUGACUUUCAAUCAUGAGAAAUUUUUCCCCCAAAAUCGACAAACCCUAAAUUUUAAAAUUCAAUUUCGUCAAACCCCACAAUUCGAGUGUAACCGUUGUUAAAACAUCAUCUACAUGCAUACGCCGAUACACAAAAACCCCUAAUUUGAACUUUCAAUCAUAUCAAAAAAUUUCCCGAAAUUCGAGAAACCUUAAAUUCUUCAAUUCAGUUUACCAAAACCAACAAUUCGACUGUAAUCGAUGUUAAACAACAUCUACAUGCACACGCCGGUACAUUAAAACCCCUAAUUUGAACCGACGAUUAAUCCAAAAAAAUUUCCCCAAAUCGACAAACCCUAAUUUCCCCAAUAGUUCAGCAAAUAAAAGAAAUAAACGGUUAGAAAGAUGAUUACCUUACGCAGAGGACGGAAGAGAUGGACCUGAGGCGCAGAAAACGACCGGAAAGAACGAUCUCCGGGAUUCGGCGAUGUCACUCGAUAUCGCCUCCGCCGUCGCUUUCGAGAGAGAAGAAAAGAGACAAAGGGUUUUUUUGUUUUCCCCGACCCAAAUUUUU
Molecule: long non-coding RNA, 944 nt
Filed under: Eutrema salsugineum
Lineage: Eukaryota; Viridiplantae; Streptophyta; Magnoliopsida; Brassicales; Brassicaceae
Description: long non-coding RNA (ESAL_LNC002167)
Source: RNAcentral